UAUCUCUGUAGAGUCUGCAUAUCAAUAAGCGGAGGAAAAGAAACUAACUAGGAUUCCCUCAGUAACGGCGAGUGAAGCGGGAAGAGCUCAAAUUUGAAAUCUUCAAGGUUCUACCUUGACGAAUUGUAGUUUAAAGAAGUGUCUUCUGUUGGAGUUCUGGUAAAAGUUCUUUGGAAUAGGACAUCAUAGAGGGUGAGAAUCCCGUAUUUGACCAUUACUUUCAGCGUUGUGAUACACUUUCAAAGAGUCGGAUUGUUUGGGAAUGCAGUCCAAAAUGGGUGGUAAAUUUCAUCUAAAGCUAAAUAUUGGCGAGAGACCGAUAGCGAACAAGUACCGUGAGGGAAAGAUGAAAAGAACUUUGAAAAGAGAGUUAAACAGUACGUGAAAUUGUCAAAAGGGAAGCGUUUGACACCAGUGUUGUUUUCUCGAAAAUCAAUUAAAAAAGGUUGGAUUUUGUAUUGUUAAGACCUUAUCAGCUUACUGUACUCUUUUCUUGCUUUUUUUAAUGCACUUUUCGUUUAACAAGUCAACAUCAAUUUCUUUUGUUGUAAAAGAGUCAUUGGAAGGUGGCUUUCACUUCGGUGAAAGUGUUUAUAGCCUUUGGCUUCUGCAAUCGGAGAGAUUGAGGUCUGCAGCGUAGAUCCUUCGGGGUUAGAUACAUUUGUGCUAAGUUAUAGCCUUUCAUAGACAACUUGUUGACUACGAUCAGUCAUGUAGCUUACUCGCUUAUGCUAUUUUACCUACGCUUAGGAUGUUGACGAUCAGCUGAGCGCG
This 774-nucleotide ribosomal RNA is filed under the name uncultured Neocallimastigales. Its description in RNAcentral is "partial large subunit ribosomal RNA". It matches the Rfam family "Eukaryotic large subunit ribosomal RNA", at positions 24 to 634 of the family's 3401-position model. The record is from RNAcentral. Lineage: Eukaryota; Fungi; Neocallimastigomycota; Neocallimastigomycetes; Neocallimastigales.